This 24-nucleotide non-coding RNA is filed under the name Arabidopsis thaliana (thale cress). The record is from RNAcentral. Lineage: Eukaryota; Viridiplantae; Streptophyta; Magnoliopsida; Brassicales; Brassicaceae.
AGAGACUUACGUUCAUCCAGAUCC